Molecule: ribosomal RNA, 388 nt
Filed under: uncultured bacterium
Lineage: Bacteria
Description: bacterial SSU rRNA
Rfam family: Bacterial small subunit ribosomal RNA
Source: RNAcentral
AUUGAACGCUGGCGGCAUGCUUUACACAUGCAAGUCGAGCGGCAGCGCGGGGGCAACCCUGGCGGCGAGCGGCGGACGGGUGAGUAAUGCAUCGGAACGUAUCCCGUAGUGGGGGACAACCCAGCGAAAGCUGGGCUAAUACCGCAUAUGCUCUACGGAGGAAAGCAGGGGACUCGCAAGAGCCUUGUGCUAUGGGAGCGGCCGAUGUCCGAUUAGCUAGUUGGUGGGUAAAGGCUUACCAAGGCGACGAUCGGUAGCUGGUCUGAGAGGAUGAUCAGCCACACUGGGACUGAGACACGGCCCAGACUCCUACGGGAGGCAGCAGUGGGGAAUUUUGGACAAUGGGGGCAACCCUGAUCCAGCCAUGCCGCGUGCGGGAAGAAGGCCU